Non-coding RNA from Pygocentrus nattereri (red-bellied piranha), 456 nucleotides. Lineage: Eukaryota; Metazoa; Chordata; Actinopteri; Characiformes; Serrasalmidae. The record is from the annotation of a RefSeq genome assembly.
UUAAGUCAUGAAGAAAGUGUUACAGAAGACAUCUUGCUGUCAUUUAAGAUGAAGAUAUCCAACAUGUUCUUCUGUGCUUUCCUGAUUCUCUCAGUAUUAACAGGUGACUCUUUUGAAAAUGUGAUAACAUCUCAUGGGUCUGUUAUACCUGCCAGAGAUGGUGAGACUGUUACUCUCUCCUGCAACUACAGUAUUACUCCAUAUGGCUUGUUUUGGUAUCGUCAGUAUUCCAGAUCCAAACCAGAAUUCCUCCUCUCCACCACUGAAUCUGGAGGAACUGUUAAAGCUGAUCCAACUGCACCGUUUUCUGCUACAGUUGAUAAAAGUCAGAGCAACAAAAUUCUGAGCCUGGUGAUCUCCUCUGCUGCAGUAUCAGACUCUGCACUCUACUGUGGAAAAUACCCAGCACUGAAUCAUACGUUUACUCUAAGCGGUACUGCACGCAUGCGCGACUGA